This 235-nucleotide ribosomal RNA is filed under the name uncultured bacterium. Its description in RNAcentral is "partial 16S ribosomal RNA". It matches the Rfam family "Bacterial small subunit ribosomal RNA", at positions 100 to 334 of the family's 1533-position model. The record is from RNAcentral.
CCGGCACGGGUGAGUAACACGUAUCCAACCUGCCGUCUACUCUUGGACAGCCUUCUGAAAGGAAGAUUAAUACAAGAUGGCAUCAUGAGUCCGCAUGUCACAUGAUUAAAGGUAUUCCGGUAGACGAUGGGGAUGCGUUCCAUUAGAUAGUAGGCGGGGUAACGGCCCACCUAGUCUUCGAUGGAUAGGGGUCUGAGAGGAAGGUCCCCCACAUUGGAACUGAGACACGGUCCAA